UAAUGCAUUAAAUCAUUUUUUUUUUAAUUUUCAUUUUCAAAUUAGUUAAGUAUAAGUUUCCGUAUCAUAUCGAAAUCUUUUCCCUUUCAUUGCCUUGCCUCUCCCUCAAAUCUUUUCAUCAACCUCAUAGGAAUUUUGUGAUUGCACGGCACGGCACGGCACUCCUAUCUUGAUUCUCUAUUUCAACCACCUUGCUUUGAUUACAUGGGUGAUAUCAUUCUCAAGGUCCCCACAUUUUGUAUGGAAGAAUUUAUUAUGAAACAUUGGUCCUCUAUUGAAACAAACAAAACCUCUGCUGUCACUGGUGUGAUAAAAAUUGCAAGCAUUUUUAACUAUAGCAUUGCUUGUACAGAUCUUAAAAUCAUGUGACUAUAGUACUUUGGCAAUUGGUGAUGGUGGGAAUGAUAUGAGAAUGAUACAACAAGCUGACAUUGGGGUUGGCAUUAGUGGGAGAGAAGGACUGCAGGCAGCUGAUUAUAGUAUUGGAAGUGAGUAUUUCUUUUUUUUACUGUGUGCAAGUCAUGUCUCAGUCAUGUCAUGUUUGCGUUGCGUAUUUUAUUAAUAUAAGCUGGAUGCUUAAUGUACUGACUUGAGUUUGAAAACUUGUCUCUAGCUGCUUCUUGUUUCUGCAAAGGAACUGCUGUUGUACUUCCAGCCAGGCACCAGCCUGUUAAAACCAAAUCCUCUACCAUGUUUGGAUGCUAAUGUUUAUGCUAAUGGUUUCAAAAUAGGUGUUCUCUAGCUGUUGGACAUGAAUGAAACCUAUUUAAAUUUUAGGAACAUUAGGAUUUCUAUCAAAACUUGAUAGCAUUAAAUAAACUAAAUGCUGGUUAAUGGUUUAUGCUUAAUAGUAAGAUACAUGAUUUGACUAUUAGCGCACUUCAGAUUUGUAAUUGUGAGAAACAGAUCUACAUGAAGACACGAUCAAAGACUUGUACAUGGUUUCUGGAAACAAGAUUUAUGAAGAAAUUGUUAUAACAAAGCCUAGAUGAGAGAUAUUGUUAGCUGCUUGUAAGAUACCAUUUUUCUUGUCCAGUGUUUUAUGAGGCCUGAUUUUUCCCGUUUUCCCAUCUUGUUUGGUGGAGGAAGAAACUGUAAAAUAAAUUAGAGAUUUUAGCCUGGAAUGUAAAAUGCAGGAACUUUGCCAAGGAGUUGAAAUAAAUUAGAGAUUUUAGCUUGGAAUGUACUUAGGAAAAUCUUAAUGUGCCAGCUCUUUUGGGAAUGCUGACAUGACAGCCUUGGUAUUCCAAAGUGCAGCAUCUCCCAAAAGUGGAUUCCAAAGAGAGAACCACUUUCCAAUCUCUGUGCAGUUAUGCUGUUUGUUGGCAGAUCAAGGAGUGGAGAGUGGCAUAGUUUCUAUAAAAAAAACUAGUUCUUGAUAGUUCAUAUGGGCUGGAACUAUUAUAAGGGAUUUGAAGCGACCGCUUCACCCCUGGAUUUGGCAGCUUGAAAAACCCGAGAGCAGCUUCGAAAAUGAGCUGGAACUAUUUUCCAGACGGCACUUCAUGUAUUUACUAUUUUCCAGACUGCAGCUCAUUGCUGCGGCUGGGAUGGUUCCAAUUCUAGCUAUAAAGUACUUCCGUUAUACAUACAAACCCAGUAAAAUCAAUACUCUUCAGCAAGCAGAACGUUUAGGUGACCAAUAUCGUCUCUUGGGAAUAUCGAGCGACAAUAACGAGUGAUCCUGAAAGAUGUUGCUCGAGUAUCAAUUACUCAAUCCAAGAACAUAAAUCCAGUUUACGAACCUCUCCUGUCUGAUUCGCCAAGCUCUAGGAGGUUGUUGGGAUCAGGUACUCCUUUCGAUUUCUUUCAAUCACAGUCCAGAUUGUCUUCAAUCUACUCAAGAAACUGGAAAGACAACUGAGUUUUAGGAGAUGUUCAUUGCGAUAAACACACAUUUAGAUGCCGUAGUUGAACUGUAAAUCCCAACCUAGUUAUAGGGGGUGUGUCAGCAUUACGUAUAGUCUCUAGAUCGUAAAGGCUACAUCCCCCCCUUCUUACAUAGCAAGAACAAUUUAUCUUCAGUAAAUGAUUGUAGCUUGUCGUGAAGCAAAUUGUAAAUGAAUGCAUCGAUACUUCUAGAAUGGAAAGCUUCAUGGCAAACAUUUCUGAACUUAA
This is an RNA transcript of Populus trichocarpa (black cottonwood), 2118 nucleotides long. RefSeq lists it as uncharacterized. The transcript is spliced from 2 exons. Lineage: Eukaryota; Viridiplantae; Streptophyta; Magnoliopsida; Malpighiales; Salicaceae. The record is from RefSeq and is a predicted model, not a curated record.